RNAcentral lists this ribosomal RNA (500 nucleotides) under uncultured bacterium. RNAcentral describes it as "partial 16S ribosomal RNA". It matches the Rfam family "Bacterial small subunit ribosomal RNA", at positions 30 to 523 of the family's 1533-position model. The record is from RNAcentral.
AUUGAACGCUGGCGGAAUGCUUUACACAUGCAAGUCGAACGGCAGCACGGACUUCGGUCUGGUGGCGAGUGGCGAACGGGUGAGUAAUGUAUCGGAACGUGCCCAGUCGUGGGGGAUAACGUAGUGAAAAUUACGCUAAUACCGCAUACGAUCUAUGGAUGAAAGCGGGGGAUCGCAAGACCUCGCGCGAUUGGAGCGGCCGAUAUCAGAUUAGGUAGUUGGUGGGGUAAAGGCCCACCAAGCCAACGAUCUGUAGCUGGUCUGAGAGGACGACCAGCCACACUGGAACUGAGACACGGUCCAGACUCCUACGGGAGGCAGCAGUGGGGAAUUUUGGACAAGGGGCGAAAGCCUGAUCCAGCCAUUCCGCGUGCAGGAUGAAGGCCCUCGGGUUGUAAACUGCUUUUGUACAGAACGAAAAGGUUUCUACUAAUACUAGGAGCUAAUGACGGUACUGUAAGAAUAAGCACCGGCUAACUACGUGCCAGCAGCCGCCGUAA